This 1719-nucleotide long non-coding RNA is filed under the name Panax ginseng (ginseng). RNAcentral describes it as "long non-coding RNA (PGIN_LNC018350)". Lineage: Eukaryota; Viridiplantae; Streptophyta; Magnoliopsida; Apiales; Araliaceae. The record is from RNAcentral.
AGAUAAACUGAAAAUAUUUUAUUAAAUUGGAAAUCAAAGUUAUAGAAUCAUCGUUUCACCCAAGGAUCCAUCACAAGUCUAAUAAGUGAAUUAGUUCAUAACGAAUAAAUUAAACACUGAAAUAAUAGAAGAACACAUCAUCCCAAUUACAUAAUAUAGAAAAUUAAGGAGAAUAGUAAUACACCACCCUUCUCGCCCUUCGAUUCUGUUAUCUUCGUGGAAUUAAUCUCCUUCUUUCUUUCCUCCAAGCUCUUGUUCUUCAAAAUCUCGAUAAUCGUCGUGUCUACCUCUCCCUCUUUCUCCUACACUUAGCAUAAAAGUAAUCUCAAUUUAGUUCCAUACCUCAAUCCUAAUCCAACUCUAACUCUCCUCAUAAGAAAUCAAGUGGAGACAUGAAGCCUUUUCAAAAUCAACAACUCAUUAGUCAAAGACUCCCACAAAAUAAACUAACAAUCAUCCCACACUCCUAAUAUUAUCAUAUUACAUAAAGAAUUAUUAGUUCCCAGCAUAGCCCAACUUCUAGCCAAACAGCAAAAUUCGCCCAACAAAAUUUCCCGACGCAGCGCGCCCCGCGCUACGUAACACAUGCCAACAGCGCGCCCUGCGCUAUCGCCCUAGGAGAUUGUCUCUUUCCAGCGCGCUCCGCGCCAUAUUCCUAUGCAGCACAGUGCGCCCCGCACUAUGUAAUCAGAAACUUUAAAAUUGCUCGAAAUCUUCUUCCAAUUAUAACAUUUUUAUAGGCCCUUGUAUUAUCCUGCAACAAGAAAACAACCUAUCAAAAGUGACAUGAAAUUACCAAAAACUAACAAUAUAUCAAGCUAAACGAACAUAAAUCAUAGGCUAAAACCCUACUCAUCAAACACUGUUGAAGGCUAACGAUAAUUUAUUUUGCAUUAUCUUAGUCAUAAUAUUUCUUACUGGGUUAGUUGAGCUCACCCUUUAUUUUCAUUGUUCUCUUCAGGAAAUGAGAAUAUAGCUGGGACUAGUCGGGGAACGGAGUGACGGUCCAGAUGUUUGCAUUAGUAGUCCUCACUAUUCAGUGAAAUAGUGUAAUAAUAAAUGUAAUAAAGGCUCCAUUUGAGUUUGAAUACUGUCUAGAAGACAAUAUUCGUAUUAAAACUCUCAGCUUAUGUUUUGUCGUAUUUUACACGACAGUUGUAUAAUUAAGUUGUAUUUGAAUUUUGUACCAUGUAUUUGGCGACUAAAGAUGGGUGAUGUAUACCUAUUUUGGGGGCGUCACAUCUUCCCCACCUCACAAGCUCACUAGAGACCCAACUCCUAGCUGACAUCUCUAAGACUCUGGUCUUGGUCGAAGAAUUACUCGUUUUUCUAACAGAAAUAUAAAAUAAACUAACUCUAUCUUUUUCUCUUUUUAUAAAAAAUUUUACAAUGAUGUACUUCUUAAAUAAGAAGAUAUAAUUUAGUACAAAUUGAUGCUUCUUAAAGAAGUAGAUAGAAAUUAUCGAUCAAAAAGUUCAAAGACUUUUAUGAUAAUUUUCUUCUUGUAUAAGCAGAUGUAAAUUUUGACUCAAUUAUAAAAGUUUAAAAAAAAAUUUAUAUUAAUUUGUGUAGAAAUGCUUCUUGAUCAAAAAGAUAAAUAAAUUUAAGUGUAUGUCAGAUAAUGCUUGAAAAAGUAAAUAUUUAGUUUAAUGCAAGUUUUUAAAGAAUUAUUUAUUCUUUACAAUAAAGAAUGUGUUUCUAUGGAUUUAAACAUAUAUU